GCCGAAGUGGUGGAAUUGGCAGACGCGUCGGACUCAAAAUCCGAAGAGGGUUUCCCUCGUGUGGGUUCAAGUCCCACCUUCGGCAC
Molecule: transfer RNA, 86 nt
Filed under: Candidatus Aminicenantes bacterium ADurb.Bin508
Lineage: Bacteria; Candidatus Aminicenantota
Description: tRNA-Leu
Rfam family: tRNA
About the family: Transfer RNA (tRNA) molecules are approximately 80 nucleotides in length. Their secondary structure includes four short double-helical elements and three loops (D, anti-codon, and T loops).
Source: RNAcentral